GCAGCAGGUUCAGCCUGUCAUUACUUACUUUUUGAGGAAAGCUGACAGAGCUCUGACAAACUCUUGCUGGUUGACAUCUUUCACCGUAACACUCGGCAUCUGUGGGACCAAACGGACAAACGGAGGUUUCUUCCGGAGGCACGUUGCAGCAGGAGAAGAGAAUAGUUCUGGACGAGGACAGCAUCAACGGAAGGUCAGUUAUCCUUAAUUACUUCAUCUAAUCUUUACUUUUUAUGUUUUUAACUGUGAAUGAGGUUGAAAGAAGGGAGUUAUAUAGAAAACUUCAUCUUGGCUUAAUCUUCUAGGAGAUCAUACGCAAUAAUUAACAUUGGAAUAAAUAUAAAUUAUCCCAAAGUAGCAGUUAUUAAGUAAAAUAUGACAAGUUCUGGAAUUAAAUGAAAGCUAGCAGAAAAGUAUUGUUUGCUAAAAGACAGCUAGAAGUAAACCAAUUUAUUUCCUUUGGCUUAACCAUAAUGUUAAACAAUUUUCCAAAGUUAAAUAUUCUAAAGGCUAUCUAAAACUUAAAAUGGCUGAAAGGUUUGCUCUUAGCACACCUGCCUCGGACGCAUUGAGCAGAGACUCCUGGGUUGGAUUCCUAGAGGAAACACAUGCUUGAUAGUUAAUCCUCCUCUGUAAGACGCUUUGGAUAGAAGUGUCUGCUAAAUAUAACAGAAUUUUCUGCCAUUGUGAAAAAAAUGGAAAGAUAAUCAAAGAAUAAUCUAAAUCUAUAAACUAUAAGCUUAUUAUAGCAUGGUUGAAAUAGUUAGGUGUUAUACAAAAGUUGUACCAUGGACCUUGAAAGUAUACAAAAACUCCUUGUCUUUGACCUGCUUACAUCUUAUAUAGUCCAUUACGAACAACUGGAUGAAUAACAGCAAUGUGUGUCAUGAAUAUGCAAUGCAUAGGUAAAUGGGAAUUGAGCAGUCGUCUUUUCAUCCAUGAUAUGAAAGCUCAGAUUUUUUUCUACUAUCACAGUCUUUAUGCUCUAAUAUUACUGCUGCCCUUGGAAAACAGAACAGUGUGCUGUGAGAUCGAAUUGUCAUUAUAUAUUUAAUUUAGAUAAUAGCGAUCAACUUUGGAGCACAUGUAGUUACUUGAAAGGGAGACAUUUGACAUGUGAGUUGCUCAUUUCCUUUUGUAUAUUAAUCUCUGAAAGCAUGUAAUAUUAAUUAUUUCCAAUACUUUCAUCAUUUCAAUACAUCUUUCAUUCCUUUAAGGCAGUGUCUGCAGACACCGCUGUAUGGUAUUUAGAUACAAAAUAAUUGCAGGGUAGCUUUUCUUUAGCAUAGUCAUUGUAAUUCAGCAUAAUUCAGCAGGGUUUUUUUCCAAACAUUAACAUGGAAUAUAACUUAAUAUUCAAAACAUAGUUACAUCAAGGGCAACUGGAGGGAGCAGGAUUUUUGAAGACAUUUCACUUCACAUUUCUAACGAUUUUUGGAUAAAAUAACCUGGAUGACAGAGAACCUACAUAGACAUAACUCAAUAUAAUGUACAACAAUGUGAUGGCAGAAAGCUACAUUUCAACUCUCUGGUUCUGACUCUUGAACAUUUUAUACAGAACAGCAGAAUCACUCAAAAACUAAACAAGGAAGGAAAUAUAUAGGCAAGUUAAAAAUAACUAAGGGAUUAUUUUUGUAUGAAUUUAAAUUUUUGUCUUUUUCAUCUGUGUGAGAGGGUUGUGGGCAGAGUAAGUAGAGAGAGAAGUACACAGAUGAUGCAGGAUAAAAUAAAAGACUGACAGAGAAGAGAAACAGCCCAAAAACAGGCAAACCUGCAGUUUUACAAAUAAGAUUGAAGAUUACACAAAUUGAUGUAGUAUGAAACGUCUUACACACACUUCUUUUCACUUGAUAAAAAUAUCAUAAUGAUGAUACUAAUCAGACACAUGUUCAGUAUUUUAUCAACCAAAAAAAAUCACCAAAUAGAUAGUCUUGAUCUCCACAUUGUAUAAAAUAUUACCAGAGUGAAUGCAACAGGUUUUGGUCCUGUUAGAAUGAGAAUACUGUCUCAAUUAUUAUCAGUAUUAUUGAUGACAUUUUCUGAAUCUUGUAAUGAUGAAGUAACAAAAGUCAUCUAUAAACUUUAGGAGACAUCCACCUAAUGGACCCAUUUGUUUUAAUUCUAUUGUCAUUCCGCCCCAGGUGGUUUGUGAUGUUUUUCCUUUCUGGAAUGUAGGCGAAAACAUCAAAUAGCAAAUUAACACCAGCAUGUAAAAACAGGGUGAAUGAAUGAGUCUGAAACGUACAGACAUGUUCAUAUGUACACACGCACACACAUGUGCACGAGACAGCCUUCCCCUGUGUAUUAUUGUGUUUGGUUUUGUCCGUAUGUGUGUGUCUGUCGCCUGAGCUUCUUCCCCUCCCCCUCUCUCAGCAUAUCUCUCCCCUUUUUUGUCCCCCUCACCCUCCCCUUUCCCCUCCUACUUGCUCUCUCCUGCCUGCUAGCACUAUUUCAAGCCUUGGCCUCAGAGAGAGAAAGGGGAGGGGAAAGCAGACAGGAUUUAGAGUUCAAGUGCACGUGCAGAAAAUAGGCUGAAUAGAGGAGAGCCAGAGCAAAAAGGAAACCAGGAAAAGGAGCGGCAGGGGCAGGAGACAAAGCGCACAGUAGCCCUUUCUUUUUCCUCAUUUGUUUCUCUCCAUUUUCUUCCCACAGAAAUAGAAAGUAUUGGCUUUGGAAUGGGGCGUUGAAAAAAAAGCCCAAAAUUCAAAUACCGUGAGUGUGAAAAAAUGUAUUUCUGUCUCCUCCUCUUUCCUCUCCCCACUGACACACUCCUCCUCUAUCCCUCCCUCUUGGAUAUUUCUCUAUGAACCCAAUAGUCUAUCUCUCCCUCUCUCUCUCCUUCAAUAUAUCUUUCUCUCUCUCUCUCUCUCUUUCUCUCUCUCUCUCUCUUACUGUUUCUCUCCUCUGUCUCUCCACCCACCUCACAUGCACACACCCCGGUGGACUCCUUCCACUCCUCACGCGCGCUUACUGAAGACUGACUGCAAGCUCGGGUUUUUUCUCCUCUUUUUCAUUUGCUCGCCAUUCUUUUCUUUUGGUUACUCACUCAUGUACCAAGGCUCCUCGACACUCAAAGACGCAUAAACUACAGUACGUGGCACCUCUGAGAGGCACAGGCUGUGGAUUCUCCCUGUGUUAGACUUCAUGCCAGAAACUGCAGUCAUUUUUUUUUACUAACUUAAAACUCAAUUUCAGUUUAGAACCGAUUUUUUUUCUAAGCGUCUCAUAGUCUGAAACAGUGAUCGUGGGAAAAAAAGUGCCAGAUGAAAGGACAGAUGAAGGGGAUACAGGUAAAAGAAUAGGGUAAAGAAUGGAUAGCCUGCUCUGCAGGAGAAAGUGAGAACGAGAGAAGGAGAGAGAGAGUAAAGAGUACCGGUACUGGCAAGAAAAAAUGGGAGGGGGAGAGAAGAGAAGGGGACCAUUAGGGGAUAGACCUAGGAAGGAGGGACGGUGGCAUAGGAAUUGGCAAAAUCGCGGGAAGGAGGAAAAAAAAACAAAACUCCAAAAACCAGAAGUUGACUUUGAUGAAGAACCCCGGCCGACAGCUUUGAAAUUUUUUUUAUCUUAUUUCUUUUUCAUAUUUUGACCAAAUUUUUCAUUACUUCUGCGGCCGCUCCUCUCUCAUUCAUCAGUGACUCCGCAGAGAAUCUAGUCCAAUGGAGGUAAGACA
This is a long non-coding RNA of Cynoglossus semilaevis (tongue sole), 3670 nucleotides long. RefSeq lists it as uncharacterized. The record is from RefSeq and is a predicted model, not a curated record. The transcript has 3 exons. Lineage: Eukaryota; Metazoa; Chordata; Actinopteri; Pleuronectiformes; Cynoglossidae.